CCUACGGGAGGCAGCAGUAAGGAAUAUUGGACAAUGCUCGCAAGAGUGAUCCAGCCAUGCCGCGUGCAGGAAGAAUGCCCUAUGGAUAGUAAACUGCUUUUGAACUAGAGAAAACCCCAGUACGUGUACUGGGCUGAUAGUAUAGUUAGAAUAAGCAUCGGCUAACUUCGUGCCAGCAGCCGCGGUAAGACGAAGGAUGCAAGCGUUAUCCGGAUUCAUUGGGUUUAAAGGGAGCGUAGGUGGACUGAUAAGUCAGUGGUGAAAUCUCCGAGCUUAACUCGGAAAUUGCCAUUGAUACUGUUGGUCUUGAGUACAGUUGCUGUGGGCGGAAUAUGACAUGUAGUGGUGAAAUACAUAGAGAUGUCAUAGAACACCGAUUGCGAAGGCAGCUCACAAAGCUGUAACUGACACUGAGGCUCGAAAGUGCGGGGAUCAAACAGGAUUAGAUACCCUGGUAGUCCGCACCGUAAACGAUGAUUACUCGCUGCUAGGGGGCAACCUUUAGUGGCUUAGCGAAAGCGANAAGAAUCCACCUGGGGAGUACGUCGGCGAACGGUGAAAGUCAAAUGAAAUUGACGGNGNGAGAGNGCGAGACGACACGAGGGAGGAGG
RNAcentral lists this ribosomal RNA (611 nucleotides) under uncultured bacterium. RNAcentral describes it as "bacterial SSU rRNA". It matches the Rfam family "Bacterial small subunit ribosomal RNA", at positions 338 to 951 of the family's 1533-position model. The record is from RNAcentral.